This 256-nucleotide ribosomal RNA is filed under the name uncultured bacterium. RNAcentral describes it as "partial 16S ribosomal RNA". It matches the Rfam family "Bacterial small subunit ribosomal RNA", at positions 521 to 776 of the family's 1533-position model. The record is from RNAcentral.
UAAUACGUAGGUGGCGAGCGUUGUCCGGAAUCACUGGGCGUAAAGGGCGCGUAGGCGGCGAUACAAGUCGCAUGUGAAAUUCCAGGGCUUAACCUUGGGGGGUCAUGCGAAACUGUAUUGCUUGAGUGCAGUAGAGGAAAGCGGAAUUCCUGGUGUAGCGGUAAAAUGCGUAGAGAUCAGGAGGAACACCGGUGGCGAAGGCGGCUUUCUGGGCUGCAACUGACGCUGAGGCGCGAAAGCGUGGGGAGCAAACAGG